Long non-coding RNA from Gopherus flavomarginatus (Mexican gopher tortoise), 1157 nucleotides. RefSeq lists it as uncharacterized. The transcript has 5 exons. Lineage: Eukaryota; Metazoa; Chordata; Testudines; Testudinidae. The record is from RefSeq and is a predicted model, not a curated record.
CAGCAAAGAGUCCUGUGGCACCGUAUAGACUAACAGACAUAUUGGAGCAUGAGCUUUCGUGGGUGAAUACCCACUUCGUCAUCUCUUUGCUGCUAGUACACAGGGCUAAGUAGCUAAGAAAGGAAAUAUGACCUCUUCCCAGGAACAUCAACCAAAAUUCGGACUGCAAUAAAUGUUGGGGUUUGUUCACAAGUGAGCAUUUCUCAAGCUUGCUCAGCUCCAAUCUGGAUGUGAUUUGUUUUGCCACUUUGGAAAUGCUUGGCUGAUUCAGUCCUAAGGAAUUAAAGCUCCAAAGGCUGACAUACUAAAACAUAAGGCCAAAAACAUGUUUCACGAGAGCAGUUAAAAACUGAAAGGAUGGAAAGAACCUGGCAAAAUCUAAGAUUGGAUGCAUCCUAGAAUGUUGAACCAACAGCCGAGAUGCUAGUGAUAACAUUUCACAAACCCCAGAAAUCUGGGUUUUCACUGAAUGCAGAAGACAGGAAAGAGGAUUCUGAAGAAUGAAUCCAUCCAAGAGUUUUGUAAUGAUUGAUAAAAAAAAAAAAUCAAAAGAAAGUUCACGCAGAAAUUUCACACCUGCAAAGGUUUCAACGCUUCUCCUAUCGUCUCCGUCCCAGAGGCUAGCGCAGAUAAGAAGGUGAAAAAAAUGCACUCACGAUGAAAUGUUCUCUGAGCUCAUGCACUGAAAGAGCUUGGCAAAAUGCAUGGAGGCAGACAAUGUCAGAGUCCAGGAAAGCACAAAAUGAAUGCAAGGACAGGAGGCUGGAGCAAGAGGAGAGGUGGUGGCAGCGUGAUGAGGCAGGAGGCAAUGCUGAGGCUACUGGAGGAUCAAACUGAUAUGCUCCGGCAUAUAGUUGAGCUGCAGGAAAGGCAGCAGGAGCACAGACUGCUGCUUCAGCCCGUGUAACCGAUCGCCCACCUCCCCAAGUUCCAUAGCUUCCUCACCCAGAUGCCCAAGAAUGCGGGGAGGGGGGCUCUGGGCACCCAACCACUCCACCUAAGAGGACUGCCCAAGCAACAGAAGGCUGGCAUUCAAUAAGUUUUGAAGUGCAGUGUCGUCCUGUCCUUCCCUCCUCCCCUUCUUCCCCCAUCCCACCUGGUGCUUCCCUCCUCCUCCACCCCUCCUGGGCUACCUUGGCAGUUAUCCGCCUAUUUGU